CCCGUAAUCCGGGUUGCGGACAGUGUCUGGUGGGUAGUUUGACUGGGGCGGUCUCCUCCUAAAGAGUAACGGAGGAGCACGAAGGUUGGCUAAUCCUGGUCGGACAUCAGGAGGUUAGUGCAAUGGCAUAAGCCAGCUUGACUGCGAGCGUGACGGCGCGAGCAGGUGCGAAAGCAGGUCAUAGUGAUCCGGUGGUUCUGAAUGGAAGGGCCAUCGCUCAACGGAUAAAAGGUACUCCGGGGAUAACAGGCUGAUACCGCCCAAGAGUUCAUAUCGACGGCGGUGUUUGGCACCUCGAUGUCGGCUCAUCACAUCCUGGGGCUGAAGUAGGUCCCAAGGGUAUGGCUGUUCGCCAUUUAAAGUGGUACGCGAGCUGGGUUUAGAACGUCGUGAGACAGUUCGGUCCCUAUCUGCCGUGGGCGCUGGAGAACUGAGGGGGGCUGCUCCUAGUACGAGAGGAC
This 461-nucleotide ribosomal RNA is filed under the name Salmonella enterica subsp. enterica. RNAcentral's name for it is "partial 23S ribosomal RNA". It matches the Rfam family "Bacterial large subunit ribosomal RNA", at positions 2232 to 2692 of the family's 2925-position model. Lineage: Bacteria; Pseudomonadati; Pseudomonadota; Gammaproteobacteria; Enterobacterales; Enterobacteriaceae. The record is from RNAcentral.